This 1922-nucleotide ribosomal RNA is filed under the name human gut metagenome. RNAcentral's name for it is "bacterial LSU rRNA". It matches the Rfam family "Bacterial large subunit ribosomal RNA", at positions 3 to 1973 of the family's 2925-position model. The record is from RNAcentral.
UCAAGCGACUAAGUGUAUGUGGUGGAUGCCUUGGCGAUUACAGGCGAUGAAGGACGUCGCAGCCUGCGAAAAGCCGUGGGGAGCUGGCAAGCGAGCACUGAUCCACGGAUGUCCGAAUGAGGGAACUCACCCGCAAGGGUAUCUUGAAGUGAAUACAUAGCUUCAAGAGGCGAACGCAGCGAACUGAAACAUCUAAGUAGCUGCAGGAAAAGAAAUCAACCGAGAUUCUGAAAGUAGCGGCGAGCGAAAUUGGAAGAGCCUGCAAGUGAUAUUGAAUUCGAUACUGGAACGGUCUGGAAAGUCCGGCUACAGAGGGUGACAGCCCCGUACGGGAAAUUGGGUUCAAGGUACUGAGCUUGCGAGAAGUAGAGCGGGACACGUGAAAUCCUGCUCGAAGAUGGGGGGACCAUCCUCCAAGGCUAAAUACUCGUAAUCGACCGAUAGCGAACCAGUACUGUGAAGGAAAGGCGAAAAGAACCCCGGGAGGGGAGUGAAAUAGAUCCUGAAACCGCAUACAUACAAACAGUAGGAGCCCGCAAGGGUGACUGCGUACCUUUUGCAUAAUGGGUCAGCGACUUACGUUCAAUGGCAAGCUUAACCGAGUAGGGGAGGCGCAGCGAAAGCGAGUCCGAACAGGGCGACAUGAGUCGUUGGGCGUAGACCCGAAACCAGAUGAUCUAUCCAUGGCCAGGCUGAAGGUGUGGUAACACACACUGGAGGGCCGAACCGACUAGUGUUGCAAAAUUAGCGGAUGAGCUGUGGAUAGGGGUGAAAGGCUAAACAAAUCUGGAGAUAGCUGGUUCUCCCCGAAAACUAUUGAGGUAGUGCCUCGUGUAUGGCUCCAGGGGGUAGAGCACUGUUAUGGCUAGGGGGACAUGGCGUCUUACCAAACCAUGGCAAACUCCGAAUACUUGGAAGUCUGAGCACGGGAGACAGAGCACCGGGUGCUAACGUCCGGACUCAAAAGGGAAACAACCCAGACCGCCGGCUAAGGUCCCUAAUAUUGACUAAGUGGAAAACGAAGUGGGAAGGCUAAGACAGUCAGGAAGUUGGCUUAGAAGCAGCCAUCCUUCAAAGAAAGCGUAAUAGCUCACUGAUCGAGUCUUCCUGCGCGGAAGAUGUAACGGGGCUAAGUCAAUAACCGAAGCCGCGGAUUCGCAGCAAUGCGAGUGGUAGGGGAGCGUUCUGUAAGCCUGCGAAGGCGGAUCUGCGAGGACCGCUGGAGGUAUCAGAAGUGCGAAUGCUGACAUGAGUAACGUUAAAGCGGGUGAAAAGCCCGCUCGCCGCAAGCCCAAGGUUUCCUGCUCUACGUUCAUCGGAGCAGGGUGAGUCGGCCCCUAAGGUCAGGCUGAGAAGCGUAGCUGAUGGGAAGCUGGUUAAUAUUCCAGCACCGAUUUCAAGUGCGAAGGGGGGACGGAGUCCUGAAGGUCAUCCGGGUGUUGGAUAUCCCGGUUUACGAGCGUAGGAGGUUGACAGGCAAAUCCGUCAACGGAUCUCCAAGGCGAAGGAUCGAGGUUGAGAGAUCAACUGAAGUGACUGAAUGGGCUUCCAGGAAAAGCCUCUAAGCAUCAGCUUGGAAUUGACCGUACCGCAAACCGACACUGGUGGGCGAGCUGAAUAUGCUCAGGCGCUUGAGAGAACUCAGGAGAAGGAACUCGGCAAAUUGACACCGUAACUUCGGGAUAAGGUGUGCCUUUGUAGUGUGAAGAGAGAAACACUCCGAGCAUGAAGAGGCCUCAGAGAAUCGGUGGCUGCAACUGUUUACUAAAAACACAGCACUCUGCAAAGAUGAAAGUCGACGUAUAGGGUGUGAUGCCUGCCCGGUGCUGGAAGAUUAAUUGAUGGGGUGCAAGCUCCUGAUCGAAGUCCCAGUAAACGGCGGCCGUAACUAUAACGGUCCUAAGGUAGCGAAAUUCCUUGUC